RNAcentral lists this ribosomal RNA (301 nucleotides) under uncultured bacterium. RNAcentral's name for it is "partial 16S ribosomal RNA". It matches the Rfam family "Bacterial small subunit ribosomal RNA", at positions 509 to 807 of the family's 1533-position model. The record is from RNAcentral.
CAGUCGCCGCGGUAAAACGUAGGGUGCAAGCGUUAAUCGGAAUUACUGGGCGUAAAGCGUGCGCAGGCGGUUAUAUAAGUCAGAUGUGAAAUCCCCGGGCUCAACCUGGGAACUGCAUUUGAGACUGUAUGGCUAGAGUGUGUCAGAGGGGGGUAGAAUUCCACGUGUAGCAGUGAAAUGCGUAGAUAUGUGGAGGAAUACCGAUGGCGAAGGCAGCCCCCUGGGAUAACACUGACGCUCAUGCACGAAAGCGUGGGGAACAAACCGGAUUAGAUACCCCAGUAGUCCCUGUCUCUUAUAC